RNAcentral lists this ribosomal RNA (497 nucleotides) under uncultured bacterium. RNAcentral's name for it is "partial 16S ribosomal RNA". It matches the Rfam family "Bacterial small subunit ribosomal RNA", at positions 28 to 507 of the family's 1533-position model. The record is from RNAcentral.
GAUGAACGCUGGCGGCGUGCCUAAUACAUGCAAGUCGAGCGAACAGACGAUGCUCUUGCUCCUCUGACGUUAGCGGCGGACGGGUGAGUAACACGUGUAUAACCUACCUAUAAUACUGGGAUAACUUCGGAAAACCGGAGCUAAUACCGGAUAAUAUAUUGAACCGCAUUGUUCAAUAGUGAAAUACGGUUUUGCUGUCACUUAUAGAUGCAUCCGGGCCGCAUUAGCUAGUUGGUAAGGUAACGGCUUACCAAGGCGACGAUGCGUAGCCGACCUGAGAGGGUGAUCGGCCACACUGGAGGUGAAACACGGUCAAUACGCCUAAGGGAGGCAGCAGUAGGGAAUGUGCGGCAACGGGGGAAAGUCUGACGGAGCAACGGGGCGUGAGUGAUGGAGGUCUUCGGAGCGUAAAGCUCUGUUAUUAGGGAAGAACAGAUGUGUAAGUAAAUAUGGACGUCUUGACGGUACCUAAUCAGAAAGCAACGGCUAACUACGUG